AGCGUACGCUGGCGGCAGGCUUAACACAUGCAAGUCGAGCGGGCAUAGCAAUAUGUCAGCGGCAGACGGGUGAGUAACGCGUGGGAACGUACCUUUUGGUUCGGAACAACUGAGGGAAACUUCAGCUAAUACCGGAUAAGCCCUUACGGGGCAAGAUUUAUCGCCGAAAGAUCGGCCCGCGUCUGAUUAGCUAGUUGGUGAGGUAAUGGCUCACCAAGGCGACGAUCAGUAGCUGGUCUGAGAGGAUGAUCAGCCACAUUGGGACUGAGACACGGCCCAAACUCCUACGGGAGGCAGCAGUGGGGAAUAUUGGACAAUGGGCGCAAGCCUGAUCCAGCCAUGCCGCGUGAGUGAUGAAGGCCCUAGGGUUGUAAAGCUCUUUUGUGCGGGAAGAUAAUGACGGUACCGCAAGAAUAAGCCCCGGCUAACUUCGUGCCAGCCGCCGCCGUAA
RNAcentral lists this ribosomal RNA (451 nucleotides) under uncultured bacterium. RNAcentral's name for it is "partial 16S ribosomal RNA". It matches the Rfam family "Bacterial small subunit ribosomal RNA", at positions 29 to 523 of the family's 1533-position model. The record is from RNAcentral.